GUCGAACGGUAACAGGUCUUCGGAUGCUGACGAGUGGCGAACGGGUGAGUAAUACAUCGGAACGUGCCCGAGAGUGGGGGAUAACGAAGCGAAAGCUUUGCUAAUACCGCAUACGAUCUCAGGAUGAAAGCAGGGGACCGCAAGGCCUUGCGCUCACGGAGCGGCCGAUGGCAGAUUAGGUAGUUGGUGGGAUAAAAGCUUACCAAGCCGACGAUCUGUAGCUGGUCUGAGAGGACGACCAGCCACACUGGGACUGAGACACGGCCCAGACUCCUACGGGAGGCAGCAGUGGGGAAUUUUGGACAAUGGGCGCAAGCCUGAUCCAGCCAUGCCGCGUGCAGGAUGAAGGCCUUCGGGUUGUAAACC
Molecule: ribosomal RNA, 366 nt
Filed under: Acidovorax sp. '6.5 MW-10'
Lineage: Bacteria; Pseudomonadati; Pseudomonadota; Betaproteobacteria; Burkholderiales; Comamonadaceae
Description: bacterial SSU rRNA
Rfam family: Bacterial small subunit ribosomal RNA
Source: RNAcentral